CUUAGAGCUUAAUACAGUUAAAAAAAACGUAACAAAUACUUUACAAACACUUAACAAACUAACACCUAAGCAUCACACUUCACACCUUUACACUUUCACACUUAAACACAUAACAACUUAACACACAAAUACACUCACACACUUCACACUUAAGAAACACUAACACUUAAAUAUCAUACUUAACACUGCACGCUUUCACAAAUAAAUACUUAAACACCCAAACACUUAACACCUAACUUCACAUACUUCACACGCCUCACUAUUCACACUUAACAAACAAUAACACUUAAACAUCAUACUUUACACUGCACAUUUUCACACGUAAAUACCUAAACACUUAACACCUUAAUACCUAAACACCUAACUUAACACUUCACACACUUCACAAACUUCACACUCUUCACACUUCACACACUUCACACUCUUCACAACUCCUAACUUCACACUCUUCACACUUCACACAUCACACUUCACACUCUUCGCACUCCGCACUCUUCGCACUCCGCACACUCCGCACUCCGCACUCCGCUCCGCACUCCGCACGCCGCACGCCUUUCUCUCUCCAAAGCACUCUUCACAACACCUAACUUCAUACUUCACACACUUUACACUCUUCACACUCCGCACUCCGCACUCCGCACUCCGCACUCCGCACUCUUCACACUCUUCACAACACCUAACUUCAUACUUCACACACUUUACACUCUUCACACUUCACACUUCACACACAUCACACACACUUCACACUUCACACUUCUCACUCUUUACACUUCACAUUUCACACUUUACACUCGUCACACUUCACAAUUCACAAUUGGCACUUCACACACUCGAACACUUCAUACUCGUCACACUUCACACUUCACACUAUUCACACUUCCCGCACUUUGCACAUUGUCACACUUUGUCACACUUCACAUUUGUCACACACUUCACACUUCACACAUUUCACACACUUCACACUUUACACUUCACACAACACACUUCACACUUUUCACACACUUCACAAUAAGCGCAAAACAAAAUACUUACAAAACACUUCUCAAAGACCUAACAAACAAUAACACUUAAAUAAACACUUAAAAAUCACACUUCACGCUUUACACCAAACCACCCAAACACACAAACACUUAACCACUUCAAACCACUUCACCCUUCAUACUACACACUUCACACUUUAAAACAAAUACUUAAGCAUUUCAUACUUAAAUAAAUACACUAACAUUUAACACCUAAACACAAACACACAAACACUUCACACUUAAACACUUAAUAGCUCACCACAAACACCUAAACACACAAACAAUUACACUUAACAAACAAUUACAAAACACUUCACCAACAGUUAACAAACACUAACACUUAAAAAUUACACAUCACACUUAAAAAAAACACUUUAACACUUUAACACUUAAACACACACUUUAACACUUAACACCUAAGCACACACUUUAGCACUUCACACUCAACACAUAAACACACACUUUAACACUUAACGCUUCAAUACCUAAACACCUAAAUACCUAAACACCCAAACACCUCAACACUAAUUGAUUUUAGAUGUACUAUUCCUAGAGAACUUAUAUUUAUAUUAUAAUAUAGGAAAGAGACUUAUUCAAGUAUAUAAUUUCUAUGAAUAAAAUUAUAUUUCAAAAACAUGUUUAAAUGCAAAACGAAAUUUAAAAAUUUAAAAAUUACAAAAAAUCAUUAUCCUGCCACGCACUCUAAUAUAUAGAAAUAAGAAGCUCUUUUACUUCAAUAAAAAUUAGAAAGCACCCGUCAAGUUUUGGCUUCCUCUUCAUCUACUACCAAUAUAUUGUUGUGUAGUGCCAACUGUGCUUCUUCUAUCUGCAAACAAAAGAGUGAUUUAUGAGAAAACAGAGAUCAACUGCAAAAUAAAGCUAGAGCACUCAAUUUGCAUCAUCAUAUGAAUUUAUAAAUCCAUAUGCUCUUACCAACUCAAUAUGAUAAUUAACCUAGAACCUUGAUAAAUGGCAUGGAUUCAAAAUCUCCUGCAAGCAUAAAAGCUGAUCGUAACAAACAGAAAAUUUUGAAAAUAAAUGUUACUGUCAUUUAUUGUAACUGUACCUAGAGUGUCAUCCAAUUCAAUGACACAUAUCUGUAGGUCCAGACAUGCCUUCCACUGGUAUCAUUGUUACGCGUCCAAUCCACUUUUGAAUAGCAUCUAUAACAUGAGGAACAAUCUAUAGGUAGCAACAUUACACAAAGGCUAUUGCAAGCCACAAUAGCUUAUGGGUACAACAGUUAUUAAAUAUCUGGAGAGUUUUUGUCAGAUAGUCUCCCCUUCUUUUCUUAUCUAUAACAUGCCAAACGGGAAAAAAAUUAUUAAAAAGAAAUCAGCUAGCUGAUUAUUCUUUUUGGUUUCUCCUAGUAGGAGACACAAAAAUAAUCAAAAGAGAUGUGCAAGUUAAUCUCACCUGGUAAAUUUUUCCAGUACUGAUAUUAUUGUCUCUUCUCAACUUGAUAUCCAGAAAAUUCAUAAUUUCUGAUGUCCAGGUUCACCUUUCAAACAACAGGAAAAAGUUAAUUAUGAUCAUAAAUUGGAAAAUUCACCUUUUGUAUAUAGAUUUCUCCGUAAUAUCAACAAAAAAAAAAAUUUUUUUUACUUUUACUUAAAAGAGGAGGAAGAAAGGAAGAGGAAGAGACCUAUUUGAUUAAAAUAACACGAAUACUAAAAAUCAACUACUAACUACUAACCACAAACUCUUAACCCUAACCAUAACCUUAACCAUAUACUAACCCUAACACUUCACAAACACUUAACAAACACUUCAAAAACACUAAACAAACAAUAAACACUUGAACAUUAUACGUAAACUUCAUACUUAAGUGUUUGUACAAAUACUUAAAAAACAAUUAACAAAUACUUUAACAAACACUUCACAAACACUUAACAAACACUAACAUUUAAGCAUCACACUUCACACUUAAACACUAAACACCUUAACACCUUAACACACAAACAUACUCACACGCUUCAAACUUAACAAACAUUAACACUUAAACAUUACACUUUAUACUUUCACACUUAAACAAUUAAACAUUUAACACUUAAACACAAAAAAAAAAAGUUACACACUUGUACACUUCAACAAACACUUAUACCUAACAAAAACUUAACAAAACACUUCAAAAAUACUGCACAAGGACUUAACAAAUACUAACACUUAACAAACAGUAACACUUAAAUAUCACACUUCACCCUUAACACCUAAACACACAAACACUUUAACAGUACACACUUCAAACCACUUCACACUUAAAUAAACAUUUUAACACUUCACACUUAAAUAAACACUUUAACUUUUAACACCUUAACACAAACACUUCACACUUCACAAACAGUACCAUAUACCAAACACUACAACUUAAACAUCACACUUCACACAUAAGUGCUUAACACCUUAAGAGCUUAAUACACUUAAAAAAAACGUAACAAAUACUUCACAAACACUUAACAAACAAACACCUAAGCAUCAAACUUCACACUUCACACCUUCACACUUAAACACUUAACACCCUAACACACAAAUACACUCACACACUUCACACUUAAAAAACACUAACACUUAAACAUCACACUUCACACUACACGCUUUCACACAUAAACACUUAAACACCUAAACAAUUAACACCUUAACACCUAACUUCACAUACUUCACACGCAUCACACACUUCACAUUUCACACUUAAGAAACAAUAACACUUAAACAUCACACUUCACACUGCACAUUUUCACACGUAAACACCUAAACACUUAACACCUUAACACCUAAACACCAAACUUAACACUUCACACACUUCAUAAACUUCACACUCUUCACACUCUUCACACUUCACACACUUCACACUCUUCACAACACCUAACUUCACACUUCACACACUUCACACUUCAUACUACACUUCACACACAAUUCACACACUCUUCGCACUUCACACACUCUUCGCACUUCACACUCGUCACACUUCACACUUCACACUUCACACUUCACACUCGUCACACUUCACACUCGUCACACUUCACAUUUCACACUCGUCACACUUCACACUUCACACUUCACACUCGUCACACUUCACACUCUUCACACAUCACACUUCAUACUUCACACAACACACACUUCACACUUCACACUCUUCAUACUCUUCACAACACCUAACUUCAUACUUCACACACUUCACACUCUUCACACACUUCACACAUCACACACUUCACACAACACUUCACACACAAUUCACACACACUUCACAUUUCUUACUUCUCACUCUUUGUACUUCACAUUUCACACUUCACACUCGUCACACUUCACAC
This 4330-nucleotide long non-coding RNA is filed under the name Manihot esculenta (cassava). RNAcentral's name for it is "long non-coding RNA (MESC_LNC007568)". Lineage: Eukaryota; Viridiplantae; Streptophyta; Magnoliopsida; Malpighiales; Euphorbiaceae. The record is from RNAcentral.